CGCCACCAUUCUCCACCUCGGCGCCAUCCCGUCACCACACCCCGGCGGCUAGCUCCGCCAUCGGCCGACGCCUACCUUCGCCACCAGCCGACGGCUAGAUCCGCCAUCCGCUGACGCUGGAGAAGACAACUCCAGCCUUCAGGUAUCACUUUGGAUGUUAAAACCUUUUGUUUUUGUUGUGUAUUUUGGUUCUAAUCCGCCAUCCCCUUCAUGCUGAUUGUGUUAGAUGUAGUUAAUCCUAGCUGAGAUUAACUGUGGUGAUAUUUCUCUGUAUUUUUCUUAGACUACAUUUUUUAGAAAUCACUGAAACAACUUGCUAUAUUUUGCUUAGGCUAAAUAUCGAGAAAUUACUUACAGAAAAAUGUCCGUAAUUUAUGACCAGAGAAGAGUUUGAAAUAAUUUUAUCCGAUUCGAAGUAAAAUAUCAGCAACUUAGAACAAGUAAUUUGGUCUGAUGUGGAUGAAGCAUCUAGCACUUGUACAAAUUAAUGGAGGGUAAUAAUAGUAAGUCCACGCCCAUCUAGUCAGAUCAAUUUGCUAUUGAAGAGUGACACUGUUGAAUUAAGAGAUCAUUUUCCUUGUGCUACUAUACAUGAACAUGACCAAGAUACAACAAGCAGUGUCUCUCAGAUUGUUGCUUGCCCACAGAUAUGCAGAAGAACAAUCGACACAGUUGACAUAUAUAUGUGCACAGAUAGGAAAUUAAUGUCCCCUAACUUAAGUACCUUUCAGAUCCAAUGUGUAUGGUAUGCAUCUGCUCCAGGCCACCUUCAGGGUUGCUGUUUUUGCAAUGGUGAAACUGUGGCAGCGUGUCAACAACGACAUUUAUAUUUGUUGUUGCCUGUUCUUCAGAGAAAAUGGGAAGCAAUCUAUAUUACAAGUUGCUUACUGAAAUUCCAUGUGGAACAUAAAUAGCUUUGCAUGUAAGAAUUUUUCAGAUGUUGUUUAGCAUUGUUAUGAAUAGUCUGUUUCCCAAAAUCAUGAGUUCUUGUUACUUGACAAAACUUUGGCAUUCAUGCUCAUGUACACAAGGAUAAUAAUGGAUAAAGUAUACUAAGAAAUGGACAAGGUUAUCAUUAUAUAUUGCAUAGACAAAUAUUUGUAACAAUGCGCACCACCAAUGCAGUUCCACUAUUUUGCUUAUAACUGAGUACUUACAGAGCUAUAACCCGCUGUCUUGCUAGAACAUAGGAACUCCCCUGGAAGAGUAUUGGCAGGCACAAGGUCCUGCAAAAAGAAACCGUGUGCCAAUUUAGAGGAUAUUUGUUAAUUAUUCCUACAAAACUGGAGCUAAUAAACUCCACUGCUACAUAUUCACUGUACUCUUACCACAAAUGUUUUAUAUGGUGUCACAUUUUAUAACACAACUGAUGAGUGCAACUCUGUUCCAUCAGCCAGAGCUACCUACAGAUUCUCAAUCCUGUAAGUGAUAGAAAGAAAUGAAUUGCACAAUAGACAUAAUUACAAAUCUCGGAUCAUGGACUUGCUAAUUCUUUAUUCUUAGAAUUAGCUUACCUUCUCAAAUCGACUUGCUGAAUGUUUAUGUUGUGCAUUUCCUAUGGAACAUAUAUGUUUUUUAUCUUGGAAAAUCCACGAUACUCUUUGUACCAUAGACUUGUUGUAUUUACGCACGAUGAAUGCAUCAGCGUGAAGCUACAAGCUAUGAUGGUACAUGAUGUCCCUGAUCUUUCUGUUCCAAAACUGGAAUUUGCAAACAUUUGACUAGAACUUGUUUGAUACUUUGCAGCACAACCCAUGGGAGCAGACAUCACUUCGCGAUUAAAUAAUGGAUGAGAAAUGCCUUUAUUCGUGUGCUAUAUGAAACUGGUUACAUUAUUGUAGACUUUUGGUACAGCUUGUACAACUAGUUGCCGCUGUGUUGCAGCUAGCGCCUCUUGUCCUUUUUCUUUUUUCUGUAACAUGCACAAGAGUGUUGUUAGUUUCGUGAGUGUGACUACUGGCCUGGGAGACCGACGAAGUGAAAGAGGGCGUUGGCUGCUUCCUGAAUAUUGUUGUCUAGUUUCUCAUCCUGUACAAUAGUUUAGCUUCUUUUGAUUGUAGCCUGGUUUCUAUUUUGCUUGUUGUAAGCUGGCCCAGUUUGGAAAUUCCACGAAACUAUUUGUACUAGUAUAUUUCUGUGUUGGAUGAAGCUGGAAGCAUUAACACAAAGUAAGCACCUGCUGACGACACACGAUGGACAGAAAGUACACUCUCAGUUCAAACUUGCUGGUUGAUACUCCCAAAAUAGAUUGGGAACUAAUUCUUAUCAAUGGUAUAUUCUUUUAGAAAUG
RNAcentral lists this long non-coding RNA (2290 nucleotides) under Triticum aestivum (bread wheat). RNAcentral's name for it is "long non-coding RNA (TAES_LNC015424)". The record is from RNAcentral. Lineage: Eukaryota; Viridiplantae; Streptophyta; Magnoliopsida; Poales; Poaceae.